GAUGAACGCCGGCGGCGUGCCUAAUACAUGCAAGUCGAGCGAACAGUUAAGGAGCUUGCUCCUUUGACGUUAGCGGCGGACGGGUGAGUAACACGUGGGUAACCUACCUAUAAGACUGGGAUAACUUCGGGAAACCGGAGCUAAUACCGGAUAAUAUUUCGAACCGCAUGGUUCGAUAGUGAAAGAUGGCCCUGCUAUCACUUAUAGAUGGACCUGCGCCGUAUUAGCUAGUUGGUAAGGUAACGGCUUACCAAGGCAACGAUACGUAGCCGACCUGAGAGGGUGAUCGGCCACACUGGAACUGAGACACGGUCCAGACUCCUACGGGAGGCAGCAGUAGGGAAUCUUCCGCAAUGGGCGAAAGCCUGACGGAGCAACGCCGCGUGAGUGAUGAAGGUCUUCGGAUCGUAAAACUCUGUUAUUAGGGAAGAACAAACGUGUAAGUAACUGUGCACGUCUUGACGGUACCUAAUCAGAAAGCCACGGCUAACUACGUGCCAGCAGCCGCGGUAAUACGUAGGUGGCAAGCGUUAUCCGGAAUUAUUGGGCGUAAAGCGCGCGUAGGCGGUUUUUUAAGUCUGAUGUGAAAGCCCACGGCUCAACCGUGGAGGGUCAUUGGAAACUGGAAAACUUGAGUGCAGAAGAGGAAAGUGGAAUUCCAUGUGUAGCGGUGAAAUGCGCAGAGAUAUGGAGGAACACCAGUGGCGAAGGCGACUUUCUGGUCUGUAACUGACGCUGAUGUGCGAAAGCGUGGGGAUCAAACAGGAUUAGAUACCCUGGUAGUCCACGCCGUAAACGAUGAGUGCUAAGUGUUAGGGGGUUUCCGCCCCUUAGUGCUGCAGCUAACGCAUUAAGCACUCCGCCUGGGGAGUACGACCGCAAGGUUGAAACUCAAAGGAAUUGACGGGGACCCGCACAAGCGGUGGAGCAUGUGGUUUAAUUCGAAGCAACGCGAAGAACCUUACCAAAUCUUGACAUCCUUUGACCCUUCUAGAGAUAGAAGUUUCCCCUUCGGGGGACAAAGUGACAGGUGGUGCAUGGUUGUCGUCAGCUCGUGUCGUGAGAUGUUGGGUUAAGUCCCGCAACGAGCGCAACCCUUAAGCUUAGUUGCCAUCAUUAAGUUGGGCACUCUAAGUUGACUGCCGGUGACAAACCGGAGGAAGGUGGGGAUGACGUCAAAUCAUCAUGCCCCUUAUGAUUUGGGCUACACACGUGCUACAAUGGACAAUACAAAGGGCAGCGAAACCGCGAGGUCAAGCAAAUCCCAUAAAGUUGUUCUCAGUUCGGAUUGUAGUCUGCAACUCGACUACAUGAAGCUGGAAUCGCUAGUAAUCGUAGAUCAGCAUGCUACGGUGAAUACGUUCCCGGGUCUUGUACACACCGCCCGUCACACCACGAGAGUUUGUAACACCCGAAGCCGGUGGAGUAACCAUUUGAAGCUAGCCGUCGAAGGUGGGACAAAUGAUUGGGGUGAAGUCGUAACAAGGUAGCCGUAUCGGAAGG
Molecule: ribosomal RNA, 1503 nt
Filed under: uncultured bacterium
Lineage: Bacteria
Description: bacterial SSU rRNA
Rfam family: Bacterial small subunit ribosomal RNA
Source: RNAcentral